Gorilla gorilla gorilla (western lowland gorilla) is the source of this 9643-nucleotide long non-coding RNA. RefSeq lists it as uncharacterized. NCBI's taxonomy places the organism in Eukaryota, Metazoa, Chordata, Mammalia, Primates, Hominidae. The transcript is spliced from 3 exons. The record is from RefSeq and is a predicted model, not a curated record.
CCUAUGUCACAGUUUUCUCACUGUUAUAAUUUGUGCAAAGGUAGUUUCAAGAUGGUUCUAGGACCUUGAGGAGUCCUAAGUAUCACAGAUGGAAAAAUCGGUAUGUUAAGAAAAGUACAGUCAUAAUCACUAACCCUUAUUUUAGUUAAAAUACAAGCUUAUACAUAGAAACAAGGCUGCAGUAUAGAAGAAAGUCCGCAAACAGGCAGUGCAGUUUUAAUUAGUUGAGUACGGAGACUAAUUAAUAUGCAAAUGAGGAGCUUACCAAUAUUAAUCAUCUGUUUUACUAGGCGGCUUUUACUAAAGAGUUUCUAACGAGUUUGCAAAUUAAGUUUCUUUGACAUUAAAAAUCAGCUAAACGCCUGUCUGAGAAUAAUCUCUUCUAACUCAAGGGCGGGAAGCGGGAAUUUUUUUCUGGACGAAAAACAGCAAUGUUUAAAACCAAUUCCCAUGUUGGCAAGCACUGGGCAAGAGUUCUGUAUCAACCCUUUCCAGGCUCUAAUUGAAACCAUUUCAGCAAGAGAGACACCAGAAAACAGUUGGAACAGAGACAAAUAUGAGUCAUGGUGAUUUAAAGAUACAUGACCUAGAAAGUUACAUCAAAAAACUUGCUUAAGUUGGUGACUGGCAUUGUUAAAGCACAAAAGAGGUUAGAAAUAUUUGCUUAAACUCCCUUUUAUGGCCUUUAACAUACCCCUAUGGUUCUCUUUACUUGGAAAUAUUGAAGAUUGGGUUGAGUGCUGACUUAUCAGCGGUGAUCUGAGUAUGAGGACAGAUUACAAAGUGGUCACUUUAGUUUUGGGAUUCAUUUUCAUUCAAAUUUGUGAAAAAGUAUAUAGGCUUCAGUUCAGUUAUGUUCAUUCUAUUUUCAUCCUAUUUGCAAUGUCAAUUGAUUCCAUUAUCGUGCCACUUGGCUAUUAAUACAAAAUUAUACACUACAAAUUAAUACAAUAUUUUUACGUUUCCUACUUCCAGGCAGAAUGUCAGCAAAGAAAUUCUUGUGAAAGACAAUAGAUUGGAUGCAACUCUUCUCUGAUCCUCUGCUCCAGUAAUUGAAAUUCACAGUUGCCCUUAAAAAUAUUUUCUCUUUCAUCAUAUCCCUAUGGAGAUUCAAAGGAAACUUUGAAAUGAUACCUUUUCAAUGAGCUCACAAUCUAUGUUUCUUCUCAAAUUUUGCACCUCUCCCCACCCCCGCCACUCUUCUAUACCUAUCAGCCAAAACUUACCACAAUUAGGCUAGACAAAUUUGUUACCAGGGAUCUCCUUUAUGCAUUCAUUCAUUCACUUGUUCAAUGAAUAUUGAUAAGGUUGAACCAAGGUACAGAGCAUCUCCCGCUGUAUAAGAUACUUUGGGAUGCAAAUAUGUAUAAUUAGCAGUUUCAAGGGAUUUACAGUCUACCAAGAAAAUAAAACACGUGCCCAAUAAGGCCGCUUUGAAGAAUUAUGUGAUAAAAGCAAUGAGAGUUGUAUAUCUCAUGUGCUUGCUGCAAAUGACUUUGAGCAAUCUUGUGAAAACAUUCUGCCUCAAUCUCUUUCUUAAUAUAGCAGAGUCCUAGUGAGAUAACAUCAGAGAACAGAAGAUGAUUGGUGAUUUAUUACUUUUCAGUUUUUACAAGUUUAAAGUGGCUUAUAUGACAAAUAUCGAAGAAUGGUCCCACCUUUCCCAGAGUAGGGAGAGACCCUACUUUAGUCUGUGGAUAUGUUUACUUGCUGACUGUCAAUGAGAAUGAGACAAUGACAUUCACUUAAAGUGUUCAGCGGGGAGCUCUGGACUAUAUUUUUCUGUUUCUGUUAUGAUUCUUGCUUGUCUGAAGCCUUAUUUCUUUUGGUCAAUACCUGUGCUAAAUGUCCUGGUUGGUGGAAAAUACUGUUAGGUUCAGAUUCAUUGAAAUUCAUGGCAAAAAUGAAAGAAAGUCCUUAAUCAAAGGCACAAGAUAGAUUUUGCAAAGAAAUUAUGGCCAGAAAAUUAAUCCAAAAUGUGCUUUGGUUUGGGCUUCUGUACAAGCACGUCUUGGCGGCAGGUCUGGACUCGAGGUUGUGGGAGCUGCAGGAGUGGAAAAUGGAAAUGGCUCAUCUGCACCUGCCCUUUCUCCAGAGAUUUGGCUCAUCAUCCUCUCCCAUGACACACAGGGCCAGUCCACACUCAGAGAGAAGUCUGCAGACCAUCCUUCCUUGAUGCCCAAGCCCCAGCAGGAUGGCGCUCCAAGUCACUGUCACUAAGCUGUAUAUGGUGUUUUACAAACAACUAUAUGAUUGGAUAUAGAAUGUAUUUCUGUGGUAUGUGUGAAUUCCAAUUGUUUGCUUUAGAACAGCACUGUUCAAUAGAACAUUUUGCAGUGACAAAAAUAUUCUAUAAAUCUCCAUGGUCCAAUACAAUAGCCACUAACCACAUGGCUAUUGAGGAUUUAAAAUCUAGAAAUGGAUUUUUAAUUUUAUUUCAUUUUGAUUACAUAAUUUUAAUUUAAAUAGCCACAUAUGUCUAGGAGCUUACCAUAAUGGACAGUGCAGCCCUAGAAAAUAACUUCAUCCAUUUCGAUUUUAUAAAUGGAAAUGGAAUAUAACCACCCUAUGAUAAUGACACAAUUCUGACUUAGGUGCAUGAACUAAUUCUCUUAAUUUUGACAUAAAUAUAAUGAAUGAAAUUUCAACCCUUCUGCUAUUGAUGAAAAAGUAAGGCUUUAACCUUAAUUGUCUAGAUUGAAUAUAUAACUGGCCAACUGCUCACUUUGAUUUUUUUUCCAUUUAUUAUACAUCUUGCAUCCCACACCUAGCCAUAGAUAGGUAAGAUUAAAUUAGUUGAAGGCCAGGCGCAGUGGCUCAAGCCUGUAAUCCCAGCACUUUGGGAGGCCGAGGCAGGCGGAUCACUAGGUCAGGAGAUCGAGACCAUCCUGGCUAACACAGUGAAACCCCGUUUCUACUAAAAAUACAAAAAAAUUAGCCAGGCAUGGUGGCAGGUGCCUGUAGUCCCAGCUACUCAGGAGGCUGAGGCAGGAGAACGGUGUGAACCCAGGAGGCGGAGCUUGCAGUGAGCCGAGAUCAUGCCACUGCACUCCAGCCUGGCCAACAGGGCAAGACUCCAUCUCAAAAAAAAAAAAAAAAAAAAGAUUAAAUUAGUCUUCCAUCUUAAGAGCACAUAAUAGGACCUUCUAAUUAGGACACAAAAUUAUAAAAACAUAAAGUAAAUGCAAAUAAUAUGAAUAAACUCUCUAGAUAAGUCAAAAUGCUGUUUGAAUCAGACUUCUGAACAACUUGGUGGCAUGGCUACACUGGAGGUAAAUUUGCUAUUAUUUGAAAAUUCUGAAAUCAAGUACUCUAAAUGAUGUGUUCUAAUAAGAAAUAAUCACCUCUUAAGAGUAUGGUAACAUGUAUGAUACUAAGCACAAGUAAUACAAAACAGCAUAUAACCUGAAUUUUAUGUAUAGUUCAUGUCUGGGAGGAAAUGUUCCCAAUGUUUGCACCAGAAUUAGAAGCAACCAGAGACUCAAUUGGUCUGAUUCUAAUAACUAUGGGGGAGCUUUUCUGAGAUGCUGAAUGUGCACUUCUGAGCCCCCUUCCACUCACCGAUCUGUGUUGAUCAGCCCAGAUACAUACAACUAACUAGAAUUUCAUCGCUUUUAAACCUGCACCAUUGAGUUGAUGCCACAUCCAUGAAUAUGAUUGAUUUAGACAAGACUGAAAAACGUAGCGUUUUAGAUAACCGGGGGUUCAGCCAAAUUCUAAGGAGAGGCUUGAGAGCACCUGCUCCUCUGGUGGCAUUAAUAUGGCUCCUGGAGGCUGGGCAUGGUGGCUCAUGCCUGUAAUCCUAGCACUUUGGGAGGCCAAGGUGGGCAAAUCACGAGGUCAAGAGAUCAAGACUGUCCUGGUCAACAUGGUGAAACCCCAUCUCUACUAAAAAUACAAAAAUUAGCUGGGCAUAGUGGCAUGUGCCUGUAGUCCCAGCUACUCGGGAGGCUGAGGCAGGAGAAUCGCUUGAACCUGGGAGGCAGAGGUUGCAGUGAGCUGAGAUUGCACCACUGCACUCCAGCCUGGGCGACAGAGCGAGACUCCAUGUCAAAAAAAAAAAAAAAAAAAAAAUGGUUCCCGGAAAAAUCAACCCACUUGUUUAUACAGCCUGUCUUACUUCAUAGGAUUCUUGUGAGAAUUAAAUGAGAUCCUGGGAGGGUUAGAUGACUACAGUAGAAAGAGCAGUCAGAUGAUUAAAAAAAUCUGAAUUUUAAUCCUGAGACUUUACUUAAUGUCUUUGAGUUUUAGCUUUCUUACCUGCAGAAUGAAGGUAGGAAUGUCGGCUCCAUAUAUCUCACAGAGUUUCUGCAAGGAUCAUGAAACACUCACUCUGCAUGCUUUUUUUUUUUUUAAUUCUGAGUUUGUUAUAGGCACAGAGAUUUCUGAUUUCUGGUCACUGUUUUUUAGAUUCAUUUACUUUUAUCUAGUCCCUUAGUCACCAGUUGCACAUAUCUACAAAAUGAUUGGCUGGGAUUAGUGGCGUGGUCUAUGAAGGUGAAAUUGAGUGAAACAAGAAGAACCAUAAAAGGCCCCAAAUCCAUGGCCUUGACUUCAUUAAGCAAGCGCAAUAUUCAUCUGUGCGAUCCAUCUUCAGUGAAAUGCAGCCUCCUGACCUUUUGCCAGCUUAGCCCCGCUGUCAGCAGCUGGGGGCUCUGCCACAGGGCUGGGGAGGGAGCCCCGGGUUGCCCACAUUGCAGAUCAUCUCAGGAAUAUUCAAGAGGGACUGUAAAAUAAACCCCCAGUCUUGUAAUUUUAUUUCAAAAAGCAAAAAUUCUCCCAGAUAAUGAGCAUUUCACUCUAAUAAGAACUGUAGGAUUGAUUAGGUUCAAACUGUUAACAGACAUCCUUAUGGUUAAUGAAGCAGCACUGAAAAUGCCUCUGGAUUUUUUUGAAACUUAAAUCAUACAAAAGCAAGCAAAGAACUGGAGGUAGGGUGGAAUAAACUGUCUGUUAGUUAAUAUACUCAAAAUAAUGGACCCAAAAUGUUCUUUGAAAAGUUAAUAUGUAUCAAGAGUUAUUUCCCCAAUGGGCAAGCAAUAAACUUUGAUGAUUAUUGUUGAAACAUUCUUUGGAUAACAUAUUUUUCUGUGAAUCUUGAGUGGGGGACUGAAGCUUCUGCCAUUUUAAUUCCUUUGUUAAUGUCUUUAUGAAUGCAAUUAACACUUCAUUCACGCUUCUUUGUUUCUGGAUCCCAUUAGGAUGUGGUUUAUGCCAGUUUCUCUCUCCCAGGAGACAGCCCGCAUCACACAACAUUUCACUCAGCUGUGUCGCUGAGCACUGACAAACUCAAUUUACGAAAGGCAAGAGUGAGUUGACACCAUGCUGUGGCAGUUGUCCUGAUGGGAGGAAACGACUCAUUUCCUUCCAAGGUAGAAUCCACCUUCUCUGAGAAGCAUGCUUGUGCACAAGAGUAUUGAAGACAAGGAGGAACUGUACAGAAGAAGAUGCAGGAGGUCUGAAGGGAAGUCAGAGACAAAAGAAGGAAGGAAGCAAGCAAGCACUGCUCAUGGAAUGGUCUGACAGCCCCAGGCUCGAGAAUGUGUCUCUCCCAAGUACUCUGUCACCCUGGUAACCAUGGAGACCAUGACGAUCGAUUAGAUGCCAUCUGAUCUCAACCUUAUAAAAAAAAAAAGGCAGCAGAUGGCAACCAGGCCACUAGACCUGUCUCAAGAGAGACGAAGAGGAAGAGCGAGAAAGGGAAGGAAGGAGGGAGAAAGGGGAGGAGGUGGGGGUGGGUUGGCGCAGGGAGAAGAGAGCCCAGAAGCAGCUAUGGAAAUGAAAAUUUUAGAAAAGAAUGAAAAUAGAAAACAAGGAAAGCAAUGGAAAAAAAGAAACUAAAACCCACUGUGUGAUAGACCUCUAUAGUGAGUUGUGGGAAGAUAAUUCUACAGAGAAAGCGAAUCAGCUAUCUCCUAACUUUCCACUUUUAUACAGAAUGGUGUGGAACCCGGGCCCCAAGGCUUCUCUGAGGGAUACGCACCAAGUUGGCUCUCAGAAUCGGUUGGACUUUGAUGCAUCCAAAAGAGAAUUCUGAGACCUGGUUCUCAGAAUGAAUGUCCCUAAUCAGAUGAGAUCUUUCAGGGAACUGUAUGCAUCAAUACCUGGUAUGUUUGUCAGCCCAUCCCCAGCAGUGUUCUAAUACUCCUUAAAGGAAGAAGCGAUAACCAGGUCAGUAGAUACCUAAGGUGAAAAGAAGACAAGAGCAGUUAAGUCAAUUCUGGUAACCUAGGAGUCUUAGCCAGUGUCCCAGAGUAAUGUAAUGGCUAAUAUUUAUGAAGUGUUUAUGAAAUGUCAGACACUGCUAAGCACUACAUACAGAAUAUUUAAUCCAGAUAACAAUAACAUAAGUUAGGUGCAAUAAUUAUUCCCAUUUUACGGAGAGGACCUGAGGCUUAGAGAGGUUAACUACCUUCAUCAAGGGCAUACCCAGAAUGCAAUAUGUAAAUGUUCAGAACAGCUUACUUAUAUAGAGAGUUGAUUUGCUCACUCUUGUUCUUUCUUUUCCAAUCCCCUCCCCUACCUUUUUUUUGAGAUGGAGUUUCACUCUGUCACCCAGGCUGGAGUGCAGUAGUGCAAACUCAGCUUACUGCAACCUUCGCCUCCUGGGUUCAGGUGAUUCUCCUGCCUCAGCCUCUGGAGUAGUUGAGAUUACAGGUGUGCACCACCACAUCUGGCUAAUUUUUGUAUUUUUAGUAGAGACAGGGUUUCACCAUGUUGCCCAGGCUGGUCUCAAACUCCCAACCUCAGAUGAUCCACCCACCUUGGCCUCCCAAAGUGCUGAGAUUACAGGCAUGAGCCACCGCACCUGGCCUUCUCCUCCUUUUUAUUUAUUUAUUUUCAUUUUUUAUUUUUUGAGAUGGUGUCUUGCUACAUCAGUCAGGCUGGUCUCAAACUCCUGGGGUCAAUUGAUCCUUCUGCCUCAGCCUCCCUAGUAGCUGGGACUAUAGGCAUGCACUACCACACCUAGCAUUUUUCCCUUUUACAUUUUAUUUCAGAUUUUUGCAGAUUACAAAACAGGACAUGUCCAAUAUAGAAAACUGCUUAAAACAAGAGAAAGAAAGGGAAAAUUAUCUACAAUCCCAUUAGUCAGAGAUAUGUGUGAUAAGCAUGUGGAUUAUGUAAUAUACAUAUAUAUAUAUAGAGAGAGAGAGAGGGAGACAGACAGGUAUAUUUUAAGCAAAUAUAGUAUUAAAUCUUAAAUACUGUUUGGUUAACCUACUUUUUUUUGGAACAUUAUAUUAUGAAAAACUUUCCAUAUUUUUGACUCUUCUAUUUUAUCUGAUUUGAUGAUUAUAGCAUUCUACUAUCUGAUGUAUCAUAAUUUUAUUUAACUACUUCCUUAUUAUUGGAUUGUAUUUUCAGAUUUUUGCUACUAUAAAUAAUGCUAUGGUGAUCAUUCUUGUAUGUAAACCUUUUUUGUACUCCUCUGACUUUUUUCUUUAGAAUGAAAACAUACUUGCUAAAUCAAAGUGUAUGUUUUCUCAAAACUUCUAAAUUGAGGUAUAGCAUAUAUACAACAAAGUGAAUAAAUCUCAAGUGUACUGAGAGUUGAAUUCUACAUGUGUAUAGACAAUGGGUAUAACCACCACCCAGAUCAAUGGAUUAAACAUUUUCCAGAAUGCUCUUCAUGCCUCUUCCCAGUCAAUAGCUAUCCCGUUCUUGAACUUCAUAUAAAUGGAAUCAUAGAGUGUGUAUUCUUUGGUUUCUGGCUUCCUUCACUCAACAUAAUGUCUGCGAGAUUCAUCCAUGCUGUGGAGUAUAGCAGUAAUUCAUUCUUUUUAUUGCUUCAUAGUAUCCUUUUAAAAAAAACUACAAUUUAUUGAUUUAUUUUUUUCUGAUAGACAUUUAGGCUAUUCUGAAUAAAGCUGUUAUGUAUAUUCUUAUACAUGUCUUUUGGAAGACAUAUUUAUACUUCAAAAAAUAUAAACUAGGAGAGGCAUAACUAAAUCAUAGAGUAAGGCAUACUUUUAGCUUUAAAUGCAGAGUAAACAUUUUUAAAGUUUUAUUUUGUUUUUGGAGAGGGGGCCUACUUUUAAAUUGAUCUCCAAAACAGCUGUACCAAUUUGAACUCCAACUAUCCAAUGUCAUGAGUGUACCCUUCCCCUUCCUGCCUUACCACCAGCUAGUGGGCAUUUUCAUUCUUCUUAAUCUUUGCCAGUGUGAGAAACAAAAUGGUAUCUCAUUGUUUAUAUUGUGUUUGAUGACCAAGAAAAUGUUAAAAAAAUUCUUGCUAUGUUACCAGAUAUUCUUGUUUCUUCUUUUGUAAAUUGCCCAUAUACAUCAUUGCACUAUUUGCUAUUAGCUUUAAGAUAAGGCAAAAAGCUUAAAUACGUAUAGUAUGUAUAGAUCCAUUGGCAUUGUAAGAAAAGUUCAUUGGCAUUUAUAACCAAAAAAUAUUUACAUUCUUUCCAUAAGUUGACAUCCUGCUCUAUAUAUUUCAGAACGAAGUUAACAUUUACAGAACACCAAUUACUGAGCACAUUUACUCUUUAAAACAGCCCUAUUUAUUUCAUUCUUACGAUUUCAUUUAACUUCAGAGGUAGCAUUUAGUUUUCAUGAAAACUCUAAAGGUAUUUAAUAUUCUGCCUAUUUUUACAAGUGCAGAAAUCAAAGCUCACGGGGCUCAGAGUCACAAAUGAUUAAGUGGUGGGACUGGGAUUUAAACCCAAGACACCUCAAGUCAAAAGUAAAUUAUUUUUCUCUUUUCUGUAGAUGCCAUUGCCUAGGUCAGUGCUCUGGCCUAUCAUCUGAAUGUUUGUAUCCUCCUAAAAUGUAUAUGUUGAAAUCCUCACCGCCAUAGGUGAUGCUGUUAGGAACUGGGGGCCCUUGGGAGGUGACUGAGUCUCGUGAAGGCAGGCCAUUGUGAAUGAUCAGUGUCCUUAUGAGAGCUGCCCCCCAAAUUUCCCUCACCUCUUCCACUAUGUGAGGACACAGCAAGAAGGCACCAUUUUUGAACAAGGAAGUUAGCCCUUACCAGACACCAAAUCUGCUAGCACCUUGAUCUUGGGCUUCCCAGACUCCAGAAAUGUGAGAAAUAACAUUUAUAUUACUUGUAAGUCACCCAGGUAUGGUAUUUUGUUACAGCUACCUGAACAGACUGAGAUAAGCAGUGAUUCUCUUUUUUUUCCCCCCACAUUUCAAACCCUAAGAGGGCAUCUGAAUUCUAGAACCCUAUCCCUAACUCCCUUCCAUUCUCAACACACAUCUACCGUUCCACUACCAAAGUCCAAAGAGUAUCAGGAUCUCUGGGCUAUCAAGAAGAUGGAGAAUAUGAAAAAAAUCCAUGUUAGCUCAUUUAUUUUAGAAACUUUUCUUUGUGUGUGGUGUGUUUUAAAAUCUGAGUAAUGGUUUAAUAAAUCCAGAAGUAGAAUAAGUAGAAGCAGAAGUGAAUCUAGGAUCUUUUCCUCUUGAUAAGUUACUCCUUUUGGGGUCUGAAGCUUACAUAAUUUUAGAGGCUUUUUAAAAGAAAAAGAAGACAAGAAUAUUUAUACAAAAUUAGGUUUGAGUGUUGAUUUAAAGUGAGAAAAGAAAUUGCUAUCAGUUACACAUUUUAAAAAUAUUUAACUGCCACAAGAAUCACAAAAUUAAAAAUAUAUAUAUAUUUAUUUUAUAUAUAUAUUUGUUUUAUAUAUAUAUAUAU